GAUCCUGGCUUAGGAUGAACGCUAGCGACAGGCUUAACACAUGCAAGUCGAGGGCAGCAUAGAAGUAGCAAUACUUGGUGGCGACCGGCGCACGGGUGAGUAGCGCGUAUGCAACCUACCUAUCAGAGGGGAAUAACCCGGCGAAAGUCGGACUAAUACCGCAUAAAACAGGGGCACCGCAUGGUGAUAUUUGUUAAAGAAAUUCGCUGAUAGAUGGGCAUGCGUUCCAUUAGGUAGUUGGUGAGGUAACGGCUCACCAAGCCGACGAUGGAUAGGGGAACUGAGAGGUUGGUCCCCCACACUGGUACUGAGACACGGACCAGACUCCUACGGGAGGCAGCAGUGAGGAAUAUUGGUCAAUGGGCGGGAGCCUGAACCAGCCAAGUCGCCGUGAAGGAAGAAGGAUCUAUGGUUCGUAAACUUCUUUUGCAGGGGAAUAAAGUGCAGGACGUGUCCUGUUUUGUAUGUACCCUGAGAAUAAGGAUCGGCUAACUCCGUGCCAGCCGCGGC
This 510-nucleotide ribosomal RNA is filed under the name uncultured bacterium. RNAcentral describes it as "bacterial SSU rRNA". It matches the Rfam family "Bacterial small subunit ribosomal RNA", at positions 15 to 518 of the family's 1533-position model. The record is from RNAcentral.